CACAGACUUAUUAUUUUACUGAAAUGAUAGAAUAUUUAAUAUCUAACAUUAUCUGUGGACCAUAGACAAGGAAACACUGCCCAUGCCAUUGUUACAUGCUCUGUGGUCAUAAUAUUGUGCGUCAUGUAUGCGUGCGCAAAAACAGGAUAAUGCUCAGCAAUUUCUGCGACUUAAACCUCAAGAGGUUAGCGUCGCAGCGCUGAUUUUCAGCAUCUCCUUGGGUGACGUAAUGGCGUCCCGCCAGCUUCACUAAUCGCCAGCGAACAAGAAUGCAAAACAACAAAACAACGAAAUGAUCAAGUAGCCGGCAUGACCUGUAAAAUACAGAUAUACCUAUAUUGACCAUAAAUGAUGGGGGAGGCUGCAGCUACGAACAACAACCUGUUGGAUACCUGUGCAUCACCAUGUUGGAAGGCCGCGACCCUUGAGGCCUCGCAUUGGUGGUGGCAGGUUGUUCCAACAGUGAGUCGCAGCAUAUUUGAAGCUCCCCCUGAAGGCCGCUGUUCUGUGCUGAGGGAUGGAUAGUGGAUUUGUAGUUGAGCGUAUGUGGUUUAUUGAACUAUGCUGUCUCCACUGUAAUUUCUCAUACAGGUACCGUGGCUUUUGGGUAGUAAUAACUCCAAACAAUAGGCCUGCCAGGUGCAAACGUCUCCGAGCUUCCAUUUUUAAAAUAUUGUUUCGAUUCGCAAAAGGGGUGACAUGGCUUCUUCGUGGUAUGUCCACACAGUAUCUUAUGCAAGCAUUUUGAACACGCUGCACCAAUCUGUUUGUUUUUGCUAGCAAGCAUGGACCAUAAACUGUGUCACAGUAGUUCAGUCUUGAUAGGACCAGACUAUCCACAAGUUGUUUGCGCAGAGCUACACUCAAGUAUUUCCUAAAGCAGUAUAGAGUUUUUAGUCUAUAAAAACAGUUCCUUGUACUAUUUAAUACGUGCUUCUCAAAGUGUAGCUCUGGAUCCAUAGUGAGACCCAAAUUGGUUGCCGUGUCUACCAUUUCUAUAUUUUCAUUGUUUAUUGUAACCACUGGCCCAGCAGACAGCAUAACACUGACUGUCCUCUUACUUCCCAAGACCAUAUAUUUGGAUUUCACCGGAUUCAGUACCAGGCAGUUGUCCUCCGACCAAGUAAAAACGUUUUGCAAAUCAGCAUUAAUAUUCUGCACAGCCAACGAGACGUCUGCAGGUUUACAAGACAUGUACAGCUGAAUAUCAUCCGCAUACAUAUGGUACUUGCAAUGUUUAAUUGAGUCUACAAUAUCGGCACUGUAGAGAAUGUACAGAAGCGGUCCCAAAAUUGAGCCCUGAGGCACGCCGCGCGCGACAGGUAGUGGAAGAGACGACACGACCGUUCCGUCCUCUUUACGGAUUUCAACAAGUUGGGACCUAUUGUUCAAGUAGCUUCCAAACCACUUUAUUGUUUCCAUCGCGAAUCCAUAGUAAGCCAUCUUGGAAAGCAGUAAAGUGGUGUUUAUCGAGUCAAAGGCCCGGGAAAAAUCAAGGAGCACCAAUAUCGUCCCCUCACCCCCGUCACGAGCCUCCAGUAUGUUGCCUAUAACAUCAGCCAGUGCCGUUGCAGUCCCACGACACUUUCUGAAACCCGAUUGCAUCUCGGGCAAUAUGUUGUUGUCCUCCAGAUAUUUGAUUGUCUGAUUAUAUACCA
Non-coding RNA from Spodoptera litura, 1658 nucleotides. Lineage: Eukaryota; Metazoa; Arthropoda; Insecta; Lepidoptera; Noctuidae. The record is from RefSeq and is a predicted model, not a curated record.